This 30-nucleotide non-coding RNA is filed under the name Mus musculus (house mouse). Lineage: Eukaryota; Metazoa; Chordata; Mammalia; Rodentia; Muridae. The record is from RNAcentral.
UGCCAUGCUGAUGAGACACAGAAGAGAAGC